Molecule: ribosomal RNA, 468 nt
Filed under: uncultured bacterium
Lineage: Bacteria
Description: partial 16S ribosomal RNA
Rfam family: Bacterial small subunit ribosomal RNA
Source: RNAcentral
GACGAACGCUGGCGGCGUGCUUAACACAUGCAAGUCGAACGGAAAGGCCCUGCUUUUGUGGGGUGCUCGAGUGGCGAACGGGUGAGUAACACGUGAGUAACCUGCCCUUGACUUUGGGAUAACUUCAGGAAACUGGGGCUAAUACCGGAUAGGAGCUCCUGCUGCAUGGUGGGGGUUGGAAAGUUUCGGCGGUUGGGGAUGGACUCGCGGCUUAUCAGCUUGUUGGUGGGGUAGUGGCUUACCAAGGCUUUGACGGGUUGCCGGCCUGAGAGGGUGACCGGCCACAUUGGGACUGAGGUACGGCCCAGACUCCUACGGGAGGCAGCAGUGGGGAAUAUUGCAAAAUGGGCGGAAGCCUGAUGCAGCAACGCCGCGUGCGGGAUGACGGCCUUCGGGUUGUAAACCGCUUUCGCCUGUGACGAAGCGUGAGUGACGGUAAUGGGUAAAGAAGCACCGGCUAACUACGUG